AAGGUGGGGAUGACGUCAAGUCCUCAUGGCCUUUAUGUCUAGGGCGUACACACGUACUACAAUGGCCGGUACAAAGGGCAGCCACUCAGCGAUGAGGCGCUAAUCCCAUAAAGCCGGUCUCAGUCCGGAUCGCAGUCCGCAACUCGACUGCGUGAAGUUGGAAUCGCUAGUAAUCGUAGAUCAGCAUGCUACGGUGAAUACGUUCCCGGGCCUU
RNAcentral lists this ribosomal RNA (214 nucleotides) under uncultured Desulfovibrio sp. RNAcentral's name for it is "partial 16S ribosomal RNA". It matches the Rfam family "Bacterial small subunit ribosomal RNA", at positions 1170 to 1382 of the family's 1533-position model. Lineage: Bacteria; Pseudomonadati; Thermodesulfobacteriota; Desulfovibrionia; Desulfovibrionales; Desulfovibrionaceae. The record is from RNAcentral.